RNAcentral lists this ribosomal RNA (497 nucleotides) under uncultured bacterium. Its description in RNAcentral is "partial 16S ribosomal RNA". It matches the Rfam family "Bacterial small subunit ribosomal RNA", at positions 28 to 507 of the family's 1533-position model. The record is from RNAcentral.
GAUGAACGCUGGCGGCGUGCCUAAUACAUUCAAGUCGAGCGAACAGACGAGGAGCUUGCUCCUCUGACGUUAGCGGCGGACGGGUGAGUAACACGUGGAUAACCUACCUAUAAGACUGGGAUAACUUCGGGAAACCGGAGCUAAUACCGGAUAAUAUAUUGAACCGCAUGGUUCAAUAGUGAAAGACGGUUUUGCUGUCACUUAUAGAUGGAUCCGCGCCGCAUUAGCUAGUUGGUAAGGUAACGGCUUACCAAGGCAACGAUGCGUAGCCGACCUGAGAGGGUGAUCGGCCACACUGGAACUGAGACACGGUCCAGACUCCUACGGGAGGCAGCAGUAGGGAAUCUUCCGCAAUGGGCGAAAGCCUGACGGAGCAACGCCGCGUGAGUGAUGAAGGUCUUCGGAUCGUAAAACUCUGUUAUUAGGGAAGAACAAAUGUGUAAGUAACUAUGCACGUCUUGACGGUACCUAAUCAGAAAGCCACGGCUAACUACGUG